Nomascus leucogenys (northern white-cheeked gibbon) is the source of this 552-nucleotide RNA transcript. It is a transcript of the gene named ferritin heavy chain pseudogene, with no coding region annotated. NCBI's taxonomy places the organism in Eukaryota, Metazoa, Chordata, Mammalia, Primates, Hylobatidae. The record is from RefSeq and is a predicted model, not a curated record. The transcript has a single exon.
UCCUUAGUCGCCGCCAUGACGACCGCGUCUACCUCACAGGUGCGCCAGAACUACCACCAGGACUCAGAGGCCGCCAUCAACCGCCAGAUCAACCUGGAGCUCUAUGCCUCCUCCGUUUACCUGUCCAUGUCUUACUAGUUUGACCGCGAUGAUGUGGCUUUGAAGAACUUUGCCAAAUACUUUCUUCACCAAUCUCAUGAGGAGAGGGAACAUGCCGAGAAACUGAUGAAGCUGCAGAACCAAGGAGGUGGCCGAAUCUUCCUUCAGGAUAUCAAGAAACCAGACUGUGAUGACUGGGAGAGCGGGCUGAAUGCGAUGGAGUGUGCAUUACAUUUGGAAAAAAAUGUGAAUCAGUCACUACUGGAACUGCACAAACUGGCCACUGACAAAAAUGACCCCCAUUUGUGUGACUUCAUUGAGACACAUUACCUGAAUGAACAGGUGAAAGUCAUCAAAGAAUUGGGUGACCACGUGACCAACUUGCACAAGAUGGGAGCACCUGAAUCUGGCUUGGCAGAAUAUUUCUGACAAGCACACCCUGGGAGACAGUGA